This 224-nucleotide ribosomal RNA is filed under the name uncultured bacterium. RNAcentral's name for it is "partial 16S ribosomal RNA". It matches the Rfam family "Bacterial small subunit ribosomal RNA", at positions 1276 to 1500 of the family's 1533-position model. The record is from RNAcentral.
UAAAAACGGUACUCAGUUCGGAUUGAAGGCUGAAAUUCGCCUUCAUGAAGCUGGAAUUGCUAGUAAUGGCAGGUCAGCAUACUGCCGUGAAUACGUUCCCGGGCCUUGUACACACCGCCCGUCACACCAUGAGAGUUGGAGAUACCCGAAGCCUAUGAGCUAACUUUUAGAGGCAGUAGUCGAAGGUAGAAUCAAUGAUUGGGGUGAAGUCGUAACAAGGUAAC